ACGCUGGCGGCGUGCCUAAUACAUGCAAGUAGAACGCUGAAGAGAGGAGCUUGCUCUUCUUGGAUGAGUUGCGAACGGGUGAGUAACGCGUAGGUAACCUGCCUUGUAGCGGGGGAUAACUAUUGGAAACGAUAGCUAAUACCGCAUAACAAUGGAUGACCCAUGUCAUUUAUUUGAAAGGGGCAAAUGCUCCACUACAAGAUGGACCUGCGUUGUAUUAGCUAGUAGGUGAGGUAACGGCUCACCUAGGCGACGAUACAUAGCCGACCUGAGAGGGUGAUCGGCCACACUGGGACUGAGACACGGCCCAGACUCCUACGGGAGGCAGCAGUAGGGAAUCUUCGGCAAUGGGGGCAACCCUGACCGAGCAACGCCGCGUGAGUGAAGAAGGUUUUCGGAUCGUAAAGCUCUGUUGUAAGUCAAGAACGAGUGUGAGAGUGGAAAGUUCACACUGUGACGGUAGCUUACCAGAAAGGGACGGCUAACUACGUGCCAGCAGCCGCGGUAAUACGUAGGUCCCGAGCGUUGUCCGGAUUUAUUGGGCGUAAAGCGAGCGCAGGCGGUUUGAUAAGUCUGAAGUUAAAGGCUGUGGCUCAACCAUAGUUCGCUUUGGAAACUGUCAAACUUGAGUGCAGAAGGGGAGAGUGGAAUUCCAUGUGUAGCGGUGAAAUGCGUAGAUAUAUGGAGGAACACCGGUGGCGAAAGCGGCUCUCUGGUCUGUAACUGACGCUGAGGCUCGAAAGCGUGGGGAGCGAACAGGAUUAGAUACCCUGGUAGUCCACGCCGUAAACGAUGAGUGCUAGGUGUUGGAUCCUUUCCGGGAUUCAGUGCCGCAGCUAACGCAUUAAGCACUCCGCCUGGGGAGUACGACCGCAAGGUUGAAACUCAAAGGAAUUGACGGGGGCCCGCACAAGCGGUG
Molecule: ribosomal RNA, 919 nt
Filed under: uncultured bacterium
Lineage: Bacteria
Description: bacterial SSU rRNA
Rfam family: Bacterial small subunit ribosomal RNA
Source: RNAcentral